GACGAACGCUGGCGGCGUGCCUAAUACAUGCAAGUAGAACGCUGAAGGAGGAGCUUGCUCUUCUGGAUGAGUUGCGAACGGGUGAGUAACGCGUAGGUAACCUGCCUGGUAGCGGGGGAUAACUAUUGGAAACGAUAGCUAAUACCGCAUAACAGUAGAUGUUGCAUGACAUUUACUUAAAAGGUGCAAUUGCAUCACUACCAGAUGGACCUGCGUUGUAUUAGCUAGUUGGUGGGGUAACGGCUCACCAAGGCGACGAUACAUAGCCGACCUGAGAGGGUGAUCGGCCACACUGGGACUGAGACACGGCCCAGACUCCUACGGGAGGCAGCAGUAGGGAAUCUUCGGCAAUGGACGGAAGUCUGACCGAGCAACGCCGCGUGAGUGAAGAAGGUUUUCGGAUCGUAAAGCUCUGUUGUAAGAGAAGAACGAGUGUGAGAGUGGAAAGUUCACACUGUGACGGUAUCUUACCAGAAGGGGACGGCUAACUACGUG
This 495-nucleotide ribosomal RNA is filed under the name uncultured bacterium. Its description in RNAcentral is "partial 16S ribosomal RNA". It matches the Rfam family "Bacterial small subunit ribosomal RNA", at positions 28 to 507 of the family's 1533-position model. The record is from RNAcentral.